RNAcentral lists this ribosomal RNA (274 nucleotides) under uncultured bacterium. Its description in RNAcentral is "partial 16S ribosomal RNA". It matches the Rfam family "Bacterial small subunit ribosomal RNA", at positions 523 to 796 of the family's 1533-position model. The record is from RNAcentral.
AUACGGAGGGUGCAAGCGUUGUUCGGAAUUACUGGGCGUAAAGCGCGCGCAGGCGGCUUGAUAAGUUGGAUGUGAAAGCCUACGGCUCAACCGUAGAACUGCAUCCAAAACUGUCAAGCUGGAGUCUGCGAGGGGAAGAUGGAAUUAGUUGUGUAGGGGUAAAAUCCGUAGAGAUAACUAGGAAUACCAAAAGCGAGGGCGAUCUUCUGGAACAGUACUGACGCUGAGGCGCGAAAGCGUGGGGAGCAAACAGUAUUAGAAACCCCUGUAGUCC